RNAcentral lists this ribosomal RNA (433 nucleotides) under uncultured bacterium. RNAcentral describes it as "partial 16S ribosomal RNA". It matches the Rfam family "Bacterial small subunit ribosomal RNA", at positions 29 to 507 of the family's 1533-position model. The record is from RNAcentral.
AACGAACGCUGGCGGCAUGCCUAACACAUGCAAGUCGAACGGGACCAUCGGGUCUAGUGGCGCACGGGUGCGUAACGCGUGGGAACCUGCCCUUAGGCUCGGAAUACCUCUCUGUCAGGGGUGCUAAUACCGGGUAAUGUAUUCGGACAAAAUAUUUAUCUUCCUUGGAAGGGCCGGCGUUGGUUUAGCUAGUUGGUAGGGUAAGAGCCUACCAAGGCGACGAUCCAUAGCUGGUCUGAGAGGAUGGUCAGCCACACUGGGACUGAGACACGGCCGGGACUCCUACGGGAUGCAGCAGUGGGGAAUAUUGGACUAUGGGCUGAAGCCAGAUGCAGCUAGGCCGCGUGAGUGAUGAAGGCCUUAGAGAUGUAAAGCUCUUUUACCCGGGAUGAUAAUGACGGUACCGGGAGAAUAAGCUCCGGCUAACUCCGUG